UGAGGUCCAGAAGUGUCUUGGGAAUCCUUCUUAUACACCUUUUCCCAUUUCCUAAAUCCAGGCCAAGAUUCCAGCCCGUAAAGGGGGGAGGGAAGUCUAACUGCCAUGGAACAAAAUGACAGCCACAGGAAGUAACAAAAUGAUGUUGCCAGAGAUUAGAGGUAAUGAAGUUUCACAAAACAGAGCUGGAACUGCCUAUGAAUAAUCUGAAGAAGGAGAAGCUGCCCAUCUAGGACCAGAUAGUGAACCUGGAGCUGGAGAAGCGGAGCAGCAGGAGCAGCAGAGGAAAUAUCCUUCUCUGACUCCUGUUGCAGAAAAAAAGAGGACAGAGAUGAGGCCCUGGUUCCCCAGAUGCUUACAUGAAUGCAAAAUCAACUUGGCUGAUUAAUAAAGGGUCUUUAUUACUGGUACAA
Non-coding RNA from Monodelphis domestica (gray short-tailed opossum), 413 nucleotides. NCBI's taxonomy places the organism in Eukaryota, Metazoa, Chordata, Mammalia, Didelphimorphia, Didelphidae. The record is from RefSeq and is a predicted model, not a curated record.